Molecule: transfer RNA, 90 nt
Rfam family: tRNA
About the family: Transfer RNA (tRNA) molecules are approximately 80 nucleotides in length.
Source: Rfam
GGAGACGUAACUCAGUCGGUAGAGUGUAGUACUUAUAUAACAGUAUACAUAGCAAUGCUAAGGUCGAGAGUUCGAUCCUCUCCUUCUCCA